Molecule: long non-coding RNA, 556 nt
Organism: Megalobrama amblycephala (Wuchang bream)
Lineage: Eukaryota; Metazoa; Chordata; Actinopteri; Cypriniformes; Xenocyprididae
Exons: 3
Source: RefSeq, a predicted model, not a curated record
AUUUUGUUAUGUGGACUGUGUGACUUUGCCUUACCUUGCAGUGGCUGGUAACACCCUUACACUUUUGGAGCCACCAGACUAUAAUUCAUUGAGGGAAGCCACAUCUACAGCAGCGGAGUGCACUUCUGCCGAUGAUGAGACCGUGUCGCUGGACUCCAGAAAGCUCGAGGUAUCAUGUCAAUUUUGUGGAAAUAGACUUUUUUUUUUUUUUUUUGAAGUUCACAAUAAUUAAGAAGUCAGGGAAGUGGUACUAAUAGAACAUAUCAUUUGUUACAGGAUCCUGACAUUGGGCAGCCUGAUAAGCAGCCUGGUAACAUAAGUUCACAAACUGUCAGAUAUCUCUACACAACGCAUCUUAAGAGACAGAUCGAGCUGACAGAAGUCAAGAUUGAUGUGAACAAAAGAAAGCUGCAGGACAUGGACCUUGAGAUGCAAAUUAAACGAAAGACACUGAGGAAACUAGAACUGGAAAUCCAGAAACUAGAAAGAGAAGUAAGUGACUUCAGUUCAUACUGUAACCAUGACUGUAACACAAUGUAUUAAUCAUCAUAAUUUU